GGGUUGUACUGUCUCCUUUUUCCAAUCAGUGAAACUGAUCUCCCCGUGAAGAAGCUGGGAUUUUGAUAUAAGACGAGAAGACCCCAUGGAGCUUUAAAUUGCGUACUUACUUCAUGUUAAAACACCAAUGAAACUAAAAAAACCUAAGUACAAUUUUAGGUUGGGGCGACCGCGGAGUAUAAUACAACCUCCACAACAAACAGGCCACACCUUUAUCUACGAGCUACACCUCUAAGAAUUAACAUAUUAAUGUUUAAUGACCCGAAUAUUCGAUCAAUGAACCAAGUUACCCUGGGGAUAACAGCGCAAUCUAUUUCAAGAGUCCUUAUCGACAAAUAGGUUUACGACCUCGAUGUUGGAUCAGGGUAUCCAAGUGGUGCAGCCGCUACUAACGGUUCGUUUGUUCAACGACUAAAACCCUACGUGAUCUGAGUUCA
RNAcentral lists this ribosomal RNA (437 nucleotides) under Chalcorana labialis. Its description in RNAcentral is "Hylarana labialis partial 16S ribosomal RNA". It matches the Rfam family "Bacterial large subunit ribosomal RNA", at positions 2008 to 2613 of the family's 2925-position model. Lineage: Eukaryota; Metazoa; Chordata; Amphibia; Anura; Ranidae. The record is from RNAcentral.